GAUGAACGCUGGCGGCGUGCCUAACACAUGCAAGUCGUACGAGCUCGAUCUUCGGAACGGGUUAGUGGCGCACGGGUGAGUAACACGUAGGUGACCUACCCCAGAGUGGGGGAUAACUUCUCGAAAGAGAGGCUAAUACCGCAUACACUCGGUCAUUCAUUUGGCCGAGCAAAGCUCCGGCGCUUUGGGACGGGCCUGCGUCCGAUUAGCUAGUUGGUAGGGUAAUGGCUUACCAAGGCUUUGAUCGGUAGCUGGUCUGAGAGGACGAUCAGCCACACUGGCACUGACACACGGGCCAGACUCCUACGGGAGGCAGCAGUGAGGAAUAUUGGGCAAUGGGCGAAAGCCUGACCCAGCAACGCCGCGUGACGGGAUGAAGGCCUUCGGGUUGUAAACCUCUUUCUGGGAGAAGAGACAAGGACGGUAUCCCAGGAAUAAGUCUCGGCUAACUACGUGCCAGCAGCCGCGGUAAU
This 473-nucleotide ribosomal RNA is filed under the name uncultured bacterium. RNAcentral describes it as "bacterial SSU rRNA". It matches the Rfam family "Bacterial small subunit ribosomal RNA", at positions 28 to 524 of the family's 1533-position model. The record is from RNAcentral.